This is a non-coding RNA of Nicotiana tabacum (common tobacco), 1274 nucleotides long. Lineage: Eukaryota; Viridiplantae; Streptophyta; Magnoliopsida; Solanales; Solanaceae. The record is from RefSeq and is a predicted model, not a curated record.
GGUCUUGAGUGCCAAAGUUUUUGUGGACAAAGCUACUGGUGUUAGUAAAUGUUUUGGAUUUGUAAGUUACGACUCUCCAGACGCUGCACAAACCGCAAUCAAAAUGAUGAAUGGUUUCCAACUAGAUGGGAAAAAGUUGAAGGUUCAGCUUAAAAGAGAUAAUAAACAGAACAAAUUUAUUGAUAUAAAAGGCGGGGUAUGGAAGGAAGCUGAUUCUUUGCAUCAGUGAUACACACGCAAGCCACUACGGAGUUGUUGCAACAAGCAGCCACUGGGAGCUGAUUUGAAACAUUUAGCAGUGACAUGGCAACUGAAUGCUAAUUGUAGGUCUCUUAUGGAUUAAAGGCAGAAACUUGUAAUUGUUGUGCCACUGUAAUCUGCAAUUUGUACAUGGAGAAAGAUUCAGACAUUUGUAAAUUCAAUGAUUCUUCUAAAUUGACUCGAUCAUCAUUAGGUUAUGAUUUUUUGUUUCUUUUUCCUUCAUAUGGUCAAAUGUAGCGUCUUCCUCCUCCCACCUUUCCUCUUUUUCAAAAUGCAUAUAUGGAAGAAAAAAGUUGAAAGAUAUACCCCUGAGCACCCCGCAGCAUUCUGUUCCUUCUUCACCUCUAUGCUCGUUAAUUACUUUGUCUCAAGUUUGUCUUUGAAUAGCCUAUGAACUGAUGUUAUGAGGUCAGACAAAGUGGAAAGCAUAUUCAUUUAUGAUUUAACAACAUCUGUGAGGCAGCUGUUCGUUUCCCUUCUGAAACGCAGGGUUUUGGUUCAGGUUGCAAUCAGGUUUGGAAGGAUGGUCAGAUAAUUGCUAUCUUAUUAGAUUCAGCCACUAUAGCUGUUCGGAACCCACAAACCAUUCCGACGGUGGGUCAGACAUUCCCAGUCUAGUUGGUGAGGUGCCGUUUUCCGUGGUGAUUUGAAGAAACCAUUUGAUCUUGGUUUGAUAUAUUCUGUAGUGACAAUACAUUCUUGCUUACUCCUGGUUAAUUUCUAGGAUGGGCUAAUAACAGACUUAGAAUGCUUAUAUAAAUUCCUUCACAAAGUCUUGGGGUAUAUUUUUGAAAAGUUCUCCAUGGUGAUAGCUUGUGGCUUUCUACUUUGUGAUUAGCGUUGUCAGCUUCAAUUGCUAUUAGUACUAGUAGUUAUGUUCAAAGCUAUUAGUUUAAUACUAGCUAGUUGGAGCCAUAAAUUGGUGGAGGUUCUCAUUCCUAUGUGGAUGGUUAGGCCUGAUGUGGAAUUCUAUGCUAUGUUUCUGCAGUUUAUUGUUGAACUAGCAAUGGUUU